Molecule: ribosomal RNA, 386 nt
Filed under: uncultured bacterium
Lineage: Bacteria
Description: bacterial SSU rRNA
Rfam family: Bacterial small subunit ribosomal RNA
Source: RNAcentral
GAUGAACGCUGGCGGCAUGCCUUACACAUGCAAGUCGAACGGCAGCACGGGAGCAAUCCUGGUGGCGAGUGGCGAACGGGUGAGUAAUAUAUCGGAACGCGCCCAGUCGUGGGGGAUAACGUAGCGAAAGCUACGUUAAUACCGCAUACGAUCUAUGGAUGAAAGCGGGGGAUCGCAAGACCUCGCGCGAUUGGAGCGGCCGAUAUCAGAUUAGGUAGUUGGUGGGGUAAAAGCCUACCAAGCCUUCGAUCUGUAGCUGGUCUGAGAGGACGACCAGCCACACUGGAACUGAGACACGGUCCAGACUCCUACGGGAGGCAGCAGUGGGGAAUUUUGGACAAUGGGCGCAAGCCUGAUCCAGCAAUGCCGCGUGCAGGAUGAAGGCC